UACGGAGGGUGCAAGCGUUGUUCGGAAUUACUGGGCGUAAAGCGCGUGUAGGCGGCUCCUUAAGUCUGAUGUGAAAGCCCGGGGCUCACCCCCGGAAGUGCAUUGGAAACUGGGGAGCUAGAGUACCGGAGAGGAGGGUGGAAUUCCUGGUGUAGCGGUGAAAUGCGUAGAUAUCAUAAAGAACACCGAUUGCGAAGGCAGCUUACUAGGCUGUAACUGACGCUGAGGCACGAAAGUGUGGGGAUCAAACAGG
This 253-nucleotide ribosomal RNA is filed under the name uncultured bacterium. Its description in RNAcentral is "partial 16S ribosomal RNA". It matches the Rfam family "Bacterial small subunit ribosomal RNA", at positions 524 to 776 of the family's 1533-position model. The record is from RNAcentral.